This 439-nucleotide ribosomal RNA is filed under the name uncultured bacterium. RNAcentral describes it as "partial 16S ribosomal RNA". It matches the Rfam family "Bacterial small subunit ribosomal RNA", at positions 338 to 795 of the family's 1533-position model. The record is from RNAcentral.
CCUACGGGAGGCAGCAGUGGGGAAUAUUGCACAAUGGGGGAAACCCUGAUGCAGCGACGCCGCGUGAGCGAUGAAGUAUUUCGGUAUGUAAAGCUCUAUCGCAGGGAAGAAAAUGACGGUACCUGACUAAGAAGCCCCGGCUAACUACGUGCCAGCAGCCGCGGAAAUACGUAGGGGGCAAGCGUUAGCCGGAUUUACUGGGUGUAAAGGGAGCGUAGGCGGUCCUGCAAGCUAGAUGGGAAAGCCCGGGGCUCAACCCCGGGACUGCAUUUGGAACUGUAAGGCUAGAGUGUCGGAGAGGCAGGCGGAAUUCCUAGUGUAGCGGUGAAAUGCGUAGAUAUUAGGAGGAACACCAGUGGCGAAGGCGGCCUGCUGGACGAUGACUGACGUUGAGGCUCGAAAGCGUGGGGAGCAAACAGGAUUAGAUACCCCGGUAGUC